AGCACUUUUAAAAGAGUGCAGCUAUAGUAUCCAUUUUACUGGUGGGAAAUAAGGACCAGUGGCUCACCCCCAAACCAUGCACCUCUAAAAUGGCAAAGCUGGGAUUUGAACCUGGCUGCUCUCAGGUCGGACACUGGUCCCUCCUUGGGAAAUGAUCCAUCUGAAGCUAUGAAGGAGACUAAAGCUGACACUCUGGUCAUCUUUUGAAGAUUUGAGCUAACUUGAGGGGCAGCAGAGUCCACACCCUACAGUGCAGAGGAGCACAACCCAAGAACUUUCACUGAGACGGGAGGAUCGAUCAGCUGGAGGUGUUUCCUGACCUCACAGACCCUGUUUUAUGUCUGCUGGUCCGAAAGCAGCCUCUUUGACAAAAUGGUCACUUCACUAUUACUCUGAGGAAACACCACUCCUGCUGCUAAAAACCCAACUGCUGCUUCAGGAGUUCUUGCAGUAGUCACAACUACUUCAGGCAACCUGCACCAGCGUUGGAAGGCUCUGUGCAGGUAGCCUAAGCCUUGAUGAACUUCAGAUGACCCUGGUCACUCUGUGGGGGCAGGAAGGGGAAUGCCUCCCCAGUGACUCAAGCCUUUGGUUGGUGAAAUGCAAGGAAAUGUCUGGCACAUGCUCCUGGGCUUGAAGACUUGGUUCCCAGUUGGUAGUGGGGCUUUGAGAAGUUGUGGUCCCUUUGGCAUGUAAGGACGAUCAGAAAAGCAGGCAGGAAGAGACCUUCUGGGAUCAGAAAGGACCUCGUACCUUUCUUCAGACAAGAAGGCAAGCAACAGGACAGUGGAGCUGUCAGCAGAAGCAGGGAACCCAGCCCAGCACUGCUGCCAGACUGACUAUACGGAGGUUCCUGAAACUAUCCCCCAAAUGAAGCUGGGUCCUUGACCAGGCAGAGGAAAGAAUUUCAGGAUAAGUAGAGUUAAGCAAAGCCAGUGAGUUUAUUAAGUGGAGAUAAGCAGCAACAGUACAUGCUUAGUAAAUGUAAACAUUUUAAAGAGUGAUACCUAAGAAAAUAACAUUAGUAUAUGUCCUAGACACAGAGCACACUCCUAAGACAGAAAAGGGCAGUACACGCCUAAUACACCGGUAAGCUUGCAACAAAAUCAUGUUUAGGUGUCUGUAAUUCUGUGGCUUUUGAAGUUACAUUGCUCAAAGAACAUAGGAUAAUUUAAACAAGAU
Long non-coding RNA from Apodemus sylvaticus (European woodmouse), 1182 nucleotides. RefSeq lists it as uncharacterized. The record is from RefSeq and is a predicted model, not a curated record. Lineage: Eukaryota; Metazoa; Chordata; Mammalia; Rodentia; Muridae. The transcript is spliced from 4 exons.